Molecule: long non-coding RNA, 1775 nt
Organism: Halichondria panicea
Lineage: Eukaryota; Metazoa; Porifera; Demospongiae; Suberitida; Halichondriidae
Exons: 9
Source: RefSeq, a predicted model, not a curated record
UAUGACAUCUAAUGAACUCUGAUCUUUCUGAAUAUGUACAUCAGCUUAAUUCUAGACUUAGGCUGUAUAAUGUAAUGAAGAGCAGGCUGCCACAGGCAAUGAACAAGAUGACUUUGAAUUCUCGAAGGCCUAUGAUCUAGUUAUAAGCCACUCAUGGAAACGGAUUCGAGAGGCUAACGAAGAUAAAUAUUCAUUUUGCUCAAACAAGUUAAAGAAGAAGAGGAAACACUACCCUAGUCAGAUCAAGAAAAUGCACCGAGUUGUUCAGGGAAAGGGAAUCGUGUCAACUCAAUUCAGGAGUGACCAAGAGGGCCAUAAUGAGCCUUUUGAUGAUAUGACACUAAGUCAAGCCGGAUACAAAGUACAGGAUAAUGUUUCAAAGUCAGAAACAGAGCCGUCUGGAAUUCCAGUGCCAUUGCUGUCUGCAUAUCUCAUCAGUGUACAUGAACAGCGUGCUUUCAACUCAUUGGACAACUCUCUCCGGUCGUUUGUUAUACAGGGAAUCAAUAGAAUCGAUUCCUCUUUGAAUCUAGAGCAUGGAGUUUCUUUUCGUCUCACGCUGUGGGUUGCACUUCAGUGAUGGUAUACAGUGGGUAUACUGGUGCAGUUGUGAUAGUGCACGUGGCCACUUACUAAAUAGCUGCUCCACUUCGGUUGAUUCCAUAUAUAUGAUGCAUUCACAAGCAUUGUUGGCUCUGAAUGUAUCCACAUCGAAGCAACUAGACUGAUUAUCCAAGAGACUGACAAUAUUCACAACAUUACAUCAGCUCAAGAAUUAUCAGAUCAUUCGUAUACUUUGAAUAUUGAACCUCACAAGGAGGACACCUCCUACAGUAUAAAUGUUGGCACAGAGGUUGUAUGCUCUAUUGGGCAGGCGGUAUGUACAAGAGCUGAUAGUGGCCAUGGUGUUGUACAAGUUCGUAUUGAUGAUAAACAAUUAAGGGGUCUGUACUGUUGUACAUGCAAAUACAAUAAACAGCACAGUUCACAUGCGGACAUUGUCGAGAAAGCAUUGAAUAGCCCGGAUGAGGAUAAACAUGACUGCCUCAAUAAAAUUGCAAAGAUCUGUCUAGUGUGCAGCAGAAUAGACAAGUGCACGUGCAUCAGUAUCGGUCCCUUUCAUCAAGCAGUAUACCAUUCAAUUUAUCAAGUGAAUUGUCUCAACAACUGGCAUGUACUGUAGCUGAUCGCUUCAACAUUGUAAACAACACUUCUAUUUUGGGCUCAGUUGACACAUAUUGUAAAGUGUGCAGUACGCUUACACGAGAUGAAGAAGACAAGCAGGAAUCUGUACGGAGCAAAAUUAUACUGUUCAAUACAGUUAUCAAUGCGAAUGUGCAUGUUAGGUAUUGCUCAGGAUGUAAGAAACGUAAAGAAUUUGAUGGCCAACUAGUAGGAUUAUUGAAUAUGGGCAAGUUCCUGGUAUCCUAUGAAGUUAAAUUCUGCGAGGUUUUAUGCAUCAAUUCCUUUUGGGAAGAACAACUAUAUAUACCCAGUAUUGUGUGUUGGUUAAAAACCAUGAAGAUGCAGGAUUCGGCGAUCAGUUUAAGUAUAUGUUUACAUACAAUCACUAUCGGUUGUCGUGGUAUGCCUUUCUUGACCCGUUAGACAUUGAUUAUCAAGUAGGAUUUCAGUGCACUGCGUGUGGAGAUUGUCCACCCAUUGUUGUCAUGGAUGCUACUAGUUUAGCAUUCAGAAAAGACCUUAUGCCCUGGAAGUCCCAACUCAACGGUUCUGGAGUUCAUAAAACCUCAUCCCCUAUAUCAGCUGUACUG